Molecule: ribosomal RNA, 647 nt
Filed under: uncultured bacterium
Lineage: Bacteria
Description: bacterial SSU rRNA
Rfam family: Bacterial small subunit ribosomal RNA
Source: RNAcentral
GUAAUGCGUAGGAAGCUGCCCGAUAGAGGGGGAUACCAGUUGGAAGCGACUGUUAAUACCGCAUAAUGUCUACGGACCAAAGUGUGGGACCUUCGGGCCACAUGCUAUCGGAUGCGCCUACGUGGGAUUAGCUAGUUGGUGAGGUAAUGGCUCACCAAGGCGACGAUCUCUAGCUGUUUUGAGAGGAUGAUCAGCCACACUGGAACUGAGACACGGUCCAGACUCCUACGGGAGGCAGCAGUGGGGAAUAUUGGACAAUGGGCGCAAGCCUGAUCCAGCCAUGCCGCGUGCGUGAAGAAGGCCUUCGGGUUGUAAAGCACUUUCAGCGAGGAGGAAGGGUUAGUCGUUAAUAGCGGCUAAUUUUGACGUUACUCGCAGAAGAAGCACCGGCUAACUCUGUGCCAGCAGCCGCGGUAAUACAGAGGGUGCAAGCGUUAAUCGGAAUUACUGGGCGUAAAGCGCACGUAGGCGGUUUUUUAAGUCAGAUGUGAAAGCCCCGGGCUCAACCUGGGAAUUGCAUUUGAAACUGGGGAACUAGAGUGUGUGAGAGGGGGGUAGAAUUCCAAGUGUAGCGGUGAAAUGCGUAGAGAUUUGGAGGAAUACCAGUGGCGAAGGCGGCCCCCUGGCACAACACUGACGCUCAGGUG